Molecule: ribosomal RNA, 253 nt
Filed under: uncultured bacterium
Lineage: Bacteria
Description: partial 16S ribosomal RNA
Rfam family: Bacterial small subunit ribosomal RNA
Source: RNAcentral
UACGGGGGGGGCAAGCGUUGUUCGGAAUUACUGGGCGUAAAGGGCUCGUAGGCGGCCAACUAAGUCAGACGUGAAAUCCCUCGGCUUAACCGGGGAACUGCGUCUGAUACUGGAUGGCUAGAGGUUGGGAGAGGGAUGCGGAAUUCCAGGUGUAGCGGUGAAAUGCGUAGAUAUCGGGAGGAACACCGGUGGCGAAGGCGGCAUCCUGGACCAAUUCUGACGCUGAUGAGCGAAAGCCAGGGGAGCAAACGGG